UACGAAGGGGGCGAGCGUUGUUCGGAUUCAUUGGGCGUAAAGGGUGCGUAGGCGGCGCGGUAAGUCGGGUGUGAAAUCUCGGAGCUUAACUCCGAAACUGCAUUCGAUACUGCCGUGCUUGAGGACUGGAGAGGAGACUGGAAUUCAUGGUGUAGCAGUGAAAUGCGUAGAGAUCAUGAGGAAGACCAGUGGCGAAGGCGGGUCUCUGGACAGUUCCUGACACUGAGGCACGAAGGCCAGGGGAGCAAACGGG
Molecule: ribosomal RNA, 253 nt
Filed under: uncultured bacterium
Lineage: Bacteria
Description: partial 16S ribosomal RNA
Rfam family: Bacterial small subunit ribosomal RNA
Source: RNAcentral